GUUGAGACCACGCAGAAGGUUCAGCACGAGCUGGGAGUCGAGGAUGGUGUGGCCGACGUCACGGAGGGAAUCAGCGGUCUGCUUCAUGCGUUGACAGAACUGGUCGAUGGAGAGGUCGCCCUGUGUCAUUGAAUGGAACUGUUCCGCAAGGAAGACAGCACGUGGCGCCUUGUUGGCCUGGAACAGAUCCGCGAUCGCGACCCAUAGGUCACGAGCCGUCUGCUCGGGAGCCAUGGCGAGGUCGAGGACGUCGUCAGCGACAGAUCCGUAGAUCCAUCCACGAACAGCGCAGUCUGCAGCAACCCACGAUGCAUCGGUGGGAGCAGGUGCCAGAGAGCCGUCAACGUGGCCGCCGAGGUAGAACUUGCCGC
RNAcentral lists this long non-coding RNA (371 nucleotides) under Sorghum bicolor (sorghum). RNAcentral's name for it is "long non-coding RNA (SBIC_LNC009234)". The record is from RNAcentral. Lineage: Eukaryota; Viridiplantae; Streptophyta; Magnoliopsida; Poales; Poaceae.